GUAUCAACGAAUCCCGACAACCUGCGAAUACGACCAGAAAUUAAUACGCAGGUUCACGUUUUCCCUGGUGUUGGCGCAGUAUUCGCGCACCCCGGCCUCGGU
This 102-nucleotide small RNA is filed under the name Yersinia ruckeri. RNAcentral describes it as "ArcZ RNA". It matches the Rfam family "ArcZ RNA". Rfam says of the family: This RNA was discovered in E. coli during a large scale screen. The record is from Rfam by way of RNAcentral. Lineage: Bacteria; Pseudomonadati; Pseudomonadota; Gammaproteobacteria; Enterobacterales; Yersiniaceae.